RNAcentral lists this ribosomal RNA (490 nucleotides) under uncultured bacterium. RNAcentral's name for it is "partial 16S ribosomal RNA". It matches the Rfam family "Bacterial small subunit ribosomal RNA", at positions 30 to 507 of the family's 1533-position model. The record is from RNAcentral.
AUUGAACGCUGGCGGCAGGCCUAACACAUGCAAGUCGAACGGUAACAGGAAGCAGCUUGCUGCUUUGCUGACGAGUGGCGGACGGGUGAGUAAUGUCUGGGAAACUGCCUGAUGGAGGGGGAUAACUACUGGAAACGGUAGCUAAUACCGCAUAACGUCGCAAGACCAAAGAGGGGGACCUUCGGGCCUCUUGCCAUCGGAUGUGCCCAGAUGGGAUUAGCUAGUAGGUGGGGUAACGGCUCACCUAGGCGACGAUCCCUAGCUGGUCUGAGAGGAUGACCAGCCACACUGGAACUGAGACACGGUCCAGGCUCCUACGGGAGGCAGCAGUGGGGAAUAUUGCACAAUGGGCGCAAGCCUGAUGCAGCCAUGCCGCGUGUAUGAAGAAGGCCUUCGGGUUGUAAAGUACUUUCAGCGGGGAGGAAGGGAGUAAAGUUAAUACCUUUGCUCAUUGACGUUACCCGCAGAAGAAGCACCGGCUAACUCCGUG